Erigeron canadensis is the source of this 73-nucleotide non-coding RNA. NCBI's taxonomy places the organism in Eukaryota, Viridiplantae, Streptophyta, Magnoliopsida, Asterales, Asteraceae. The record is from the annotation of a RefSeq genome assembly.
CCCGCCUUAGCUCAGUGGUCAGAGCGGUAGACUGUAGAUCUAUGCGUCGCUGGUUCGAAUCCUGCAGGCGGGA